AAGUUAUCAAUAUUUUUUUCAAAAUUUUUAUCAAAAAAUGUUCAAAGAAAAUUUCAAAAUUAAGAUAUUUAUGUAUUUUUAUAUGACAUAUAGUUUAAUUUAAUGAUACAUAUAUUUAUAUAUCUUUUAUUUUUGAUACUUAUUAAAUAAGACUUUCAACUUAUAUUAUUUUUGGGGGAAUUUUACUUAUACACUUUUUAUGAUACCACUUUUCAACUUUACCAUCAAUCGAAAGGCAUUUUCAAAAAUACCACAUUCAUUAAUGUGUAAAAGACAAUAUUGCCCUUAACUUAUCUUCAACUCAUUUCUCUCUCUCUCGUGAAUCUCCGUUCGUCGUCUAUCGUCUCUGUUCAGAUCCGCUGUUUUCCGUUCAGAUCCGCCGUCUCCGUUCAGAUUCGCCGUCUCUGUCCUCCAGAUCCGCCGUCUCUGUCCUGAACCGACGUCUUCGUCCAGAUUCGUCGUCUUCGUCCAGAUCCACGAAGCAAUCGAGAUCGAGACUCAAAACUUCAAAUGUUGAAUCCUCAGCAAGAAUCACAACCUAUUGCAGAGUCUGUUUCUUUUAGCAGCGAUAAAAAGUAUGAUAUAACGCAAGUGAAGGCUCCACCUCAGCUGCAGAAAAAGAUGUGUUAAGUAACUCAAUCAACUAAAAGACAAUUUAGAAAGGCUUAUAAGACAGUUUAUAAAGUUUGUUAAAUAAUUUAUAAGGUUUAUAAAUUCUGCACAA
Long non-coding RNA from Brassica rapa (field mustard), 724 nucleotides. RefSeq lists it as uncharacterized. The record is from RefSeq and is a predicted model, not a curated record. NCBI's taxonomy places the organism in Eukaryota, Viridiplantae, Streptophyta, Magnoliopsida, Brassicales, Brassicaceae.